Molecule: long non-coding RNA, 1854 nt
Filed under: Homo sapiens (human)
Lineage: Eukaryota; Metazoa; Chordata; Mammalia; Primates; Hominidae
Description: TNS2 antisense RNA 1
Source: RNAcentral
GGUGCUUGGAUUGCAGCACAUGGGCCAGCUCGCGCAGGUGGCCCCGGUGCCGCUGUUCAUCGGGCCGCGCGGGGAAGGCGGCGGCCAAGAUGCGCUCCGUCACGUAGGAUGAGCAAUACCCACAGCACUCCGUUCAAGGUCAUCUCCUGGGGGCCCUCUCUGGAGCCACCAGACCUCUGGACACCAUGGCCAGGUUCCUUGCCCUCCCCACCCCAUCCCAGAGCGCACUCACCAACUCCACGGGAGGCAAGGCCUGACAGGCUGAAGUCACCUGGAAGGGGACCGAUGCCUGGUACUGGAUAGGAACUUCAUGGAAUGGAGCUAAUGGGCCGUAGGGCAGGUUUGAGUCGUGCCACCCUGGAGCAGAAGGUGGAGGGUAGGGAUAAGGGGGUGGAGCACCUGAUUCCAAUCUUGCCACAGGGAAGAAGAGUCUGUGAAGAACAUUCCUUAGGGUCUUUGGCUGGGCUCUGGGAUGGAUGCCAUGGGAGUACCUUUACUUAAGCUCUAAAGUUACCAAUGGAGAGACUGGGACUCAAAGAGGAACUUGAUUGGACCCCAGAGAGGGUGGAGAGAAACUAGGAGAAAAGCACAGGAUGUAGAGGUCUAUUCGGCAUAAUCUUCUCCCUCAUUUUCAUCUUCACCAUCAACAGAGAGAGCAGCAUACUUGCUUGCAGAACUGAACUUCUGUAACACAACGAGAGUGACAGGAUAAUGAAGGCCCUGAAUUAUCACAUCAAAACCCAAGACACAGGAUACUGAUCCUUUGGCAAUGGGGGAUGACAGUCAGAUGACACCCACUUGCUUGCUCAUCAGCAUUGUCCAUUGGAGAGGAGCUAGGGAAGAGGGUCAGAGGCACAUGCGAUCUUACUAUAGUCUCAUACCACCUCUACACCUUGCAGAAGGGAUGAGAACAAAGGAAGACAGAAACCAGGAAAAAGCUAAACUUCUUUCGCUAUUUCAGUAAAGACCAAUGUCUUAUUUCCAAACACUUUGUAUUCCAAAUGGAAAGAAGUCCAACGGCAAAAAGUUUAGAAUACUAAGAAUUUUUAAUUCUUAGUAAGAAUACUUAGAAUUCUAAGAAUUUUUCUUAGAAUGAAAAAUUGGGAGCAGCCUUCAACACUUACGGAAGCUGGAUUUUCCUCAGGUUUCUUUGGCUCAGGUGCAGAUCUGGAGUCUUGAUCCUUUUUGCCAUCUUUCCUGCAGAGACGUAAGCAUAAAACCAUGUCUUUAGGAAAGGACUCGCCUAAUACAAACAUGUGUAUGCAUGCAGUUUCAAGGCACUGAACAGGCACCUCUAGUCAACAGUCCUUGUUGUCUGGAUGAUGUAUUACUUCUAGAUUUUCAGAAUCUUAACUGUCUACGUUGGCUGACUUUAGUUUGCUCACAAUGAGCGAUCUGGCAGUGCUCUGAGAACCAAGAACUUAAUUUCUUAAUUACACAAACAUGUGGAUCAGAGGAAAGAUGAGAAAGAGAACAAGCAUACCUAUCUGACUCCUUCCAGUGGUCUCUGUUCCCUCCGUCGCCUGGACCACGGCUAGAGUUCCCAGUUUGGCCUUUUGGGGCAUUCAUCCCAUCUACUUUAUUUUCAUCUGCUUGGGCAGUAAUGUAAACAAAUUAAAGGCAAGUAAAAGUAUCAAUGUCCCUCUCCUAAGAUUUCCCUUAAGCUGAAGAAAAUUGUGCCCACAUGUACUGAGGGAAACUAACCUCACCCCAACCCAGACUUCCUUCCUGAAGCCCUUCUUUCCACAUCCUCUACAGCACACAAAAAUACAAAAAACAAACAAAAUCCACUAAAAAGUUCCAUGUAGGGAUAUGCCAUCAUGAAAAGCAAGCUGGAAAUAAAGAUUAUGACGC